CGGGAAUAGCCCAGAGAAAUUUGGAUUAAUACCCCAUAAUAUAUUUGAUAAGGCAUCUUAUUAAUAUUAAAAGCUUCGGCACUUGAUGAUGGGUGUGCGGCUGAUUAGAUAGUUGGCGGGGUAACGGCCCACCAAGUCUACGAUCAGUAGCUGAUGUGAGAGCAUGAUCAGCCACACGGGCACUGAGACACGGGCCCGACUCCUACGGGAGGCAGCAGUAAGGAAUAUUGGACAAUGGACGAAAGUCUGAUCCAGCCAUGCCGCGUGAAGGAUUAAGGUCCUCUGGAUUGUAAACUUCUUUUAUAUGGGACGAAAAAGGGCAUUCUUGUUCACUUGACGGUACCAUAUGAAUAAGCACCGGCUAACUCCGUG
RNAcentral lists this ribosomal RNA (372 nucleotides) under uncultured bacterium. Its description in RNAcentral is "bacterial SSU rRNA". It matches the Rfam family "Bacterial small subunit ribosomal RNA", at positions 138 to 507 of the family's 1533-position model. The record is from RNAcentral.